ACUACCGACCAUUGUAUGCAACCUUAGAGGUAAAAUAUUAUGACUGAAUGAAAGCCGAGAUGUAACUGUUAAUGAAAUAUAAUUAUAAGGAUUUUUUCGCAAUAAACAAUUAAGUAUGUAACUAAAAUAUCGUGUAUUUAGAGAAUAAAAUAAUAAUAAAUAAAUAAAACACUUCCAAUGAGAAUCAUUUAUCUCGCGCUCAAAAAUAACAUAAAAUAUUAGUGUUUGUUCGUAAGCUGUAGAGAUACGUUGUAGGUGUCGAAAUAAAGGUACAUUUUUCAAUUCCUCAAAUGUCAAUGAAAUGUAGCAAUGCAUUAUGACUACUUCAUUAUCAUCACGUCAGCCUAUCGCAGACCACCGUUGGACAUUGGCCUCCAAAAGUUCGCAGCUGAAAAUAAAACUUAACUACUUAUACACUUGUAUAUAUGUAAAAAUAUCACCUGAUCAAUACUGCAUGAAAUAAUUUCAAUACGAUGAUAAAUUCGUUUGUAAAGGUAGUCGAAAUAUGAUCAACUAAAACUACCCUCAUUAGCACAUUUAAUUUUUUAAUCCAUAAAGAAAAAAAAAUCAACAAAUAAUAGUAAUACAAAUAUAGUUAUAAUAAUAUUGAUCA
This 613-nucleotide unclassified non-coding RNA is filed under the name Melitaea cinxia (Glanville fritillary). RNAcentral's name for it is "misc RNA ENSMCXG00005014388.1". The record is from RNAcentral. Lineage: Eukaryota; Metazoa; Arthropoda; Insecta; Lepidoptera; Nymphalidae.